Cavia porcellus (domestic guinea pig) is the source of this 4119-nucleotide long non-coding RNA. RefSeq lists it as uncharacterized. Lineage: Eukaryota; Metazoa; Chordata; Mammalia; Rodentia; Caviidae. The transcript has 2 exons. The record is from RefSeq and is a predicted model, not a curated record.
UUGAGAUGACUUGAGUUCAUUUUUGGUGCGGCGUUAAGGUGCUUCCCCUUAGGGCAGUGAAGACAGACUUUCCUACUAUGAUGAUAUAGUUCAAAAACUUUAAAAGUACGAUGCUGUGGAAACCAAGAUGUGUCAGUCUUCAGGGCUGCUGUCUUCUAACAGGUGGAAUCAGAGCAUCUCCCUGGUUAUCUGGCACAGGAUUGAGCCUUGAAUUAGCAAACCCUACCUCCUGUCCCCGCUUUACCCACUGCGCCUGCUUAAUACCUAUUUGUAAAUUGAAAAAACUGCGUCCUUUGUUCAGGGUUGGAAAAAGAUACGGGACUGGAAAAGAACAGAUAUGUCCAGGAGUAGCCAAUGAAUCAUCCUCAGAUGUUUAAAAAACAAACAAACAAAAAAACAGUAACAGUAACAACUGAUUAUUUAUUUAUUUAUUCUUUUUGAGGCAGGGUUUUCCUAUGCAGUUUGAGCUGUCCCUGAACUCAACUUUGUAGCCCAGGCUGGUCUCCAACUUCCAACAGUCCUGCCUCAGCCUUCUGAGUGCUGGGAUUACACAAUGCCUGACUAACGAUCAUUCAUUUUUGUGUCCAACUGAAUUCCACCUUUCAGGUGUAUGGCCUCAGAAUAAGCUUUUCAGGUUAAAGUUUUGUUUUGUUUUGUUUUGUUUUGUUUUGUUUUGCUUUGGUUUUGGUACCAGAAAUCGAACUCAGGACUUUGCGCUUGCCAGGCAUGUGCUCUGCCACUGAACCAAAUCCCCACCCCCAAAGUUGUUUAACAGUGGCUGGUGAUGCAGUGCAGGUGGCUUCAAAUUCAGCUUGCCAAGUGUUGGGGUUCUGCAGAGCCACUAACUCUGAUAGAAUAAAGACUUUUUAUUUUAUUUUUUUUUAAAUAAAGACUUUUUAAAGAAAGGAUGGGGCAGUGGAUACAAUAAAGAGCAUUUUAGCAAUGAGUGAGGUUUAGUUCUGACCCUCAGCUGUUAAAGGUGGACAAAAGGGUAAACUGCUGAGAUUCAUCAAAGUUUACAUAUAUUAUAUAGGCACUAUACAACUAUAUAAAUCCUAUGAGAACGUUAAACCAUCUUACUUGUAUGUAAAUGGAGCAGAGAUCAUAUCUCAAGCAAUUCCACAUGACCCUUAUCUUUCACAAUAACCAGGUGAAAUAUAAAGAUUUUUGUUCUUAAGAUUUAUAGAACUGGCAAGCAUCUCUUGACUAGGCAUUAUUUGUCACAAACCUUCACCUGUGAGAAAGUGUACAUCACUUUGUAGCUCAGGUGGCCUCAAAUUUGAACUCGAAACGAUCCUUUUGCCUCAGCCUUCAGCCACUCAUUUCUUAUAUUGACUGCUCCUAAAUAAGCUUCGCUGUAAGAUGGCUUUUCAGGGACAAGAAUCACUGUCAUCUUCUAAUCAGCUAGCUGGUAUUAAAAAGUUCCUUCUCAGUCAGGCAUAGUGGCACAUCCAAGGAUGGUGGCUGAGGAAGCUCACAGGUUCUAGUGUAGAUUGAGCAACACAAUGACUUAGGGAGACCCUGUCUCUAAAAAGAGACCAGGUUGAGCCAGGAUGGGCACCACCUGUUGGAGAAGCCAGGUAUGGCGGCACACGCCUGUAAUGCCAUCCCAGCACUUGGGAGGCCAAGGCCAAAGGACUGCCACAAGCUCAAGGCCAACCUGGGCUACAUAGUUUAAGGCCAGUCUAAACUGCACAGUGAGACCCUGUCCCAAAUAACCAACAAUAAAAAAGCUGGGCAGAGCAGAGGGUGGGGCUGGUGAUGUGUGGCAUAAUGCUAGACAGAGUAUGUACUUAACAUUUCCUUUAACCAUUCUCAGAAGUUACUUGAUUUGUAAUUUGGCUGUUUGGCUUCAAAACAGAAACAAUUCAAAGAGGGAUGUAAUGCUCAGGACCUGAAGAUGGGUUCAGAGAUUACAAUUCAGGAAAUACCUGAGUCAGGUUAUAUGUGGGAAGCGGCAGUGGGAGGAGCUGGUAACCUCCAUUUUGGGAAAUGACUUUGGGAGUAGGGAGUGAAUGCUAGAUACUGUAGCAUAAGAAAUGGAAGAAAUAAAAGAAAUCUGUAAUGCCUAUCUUCAGAAAUUUUACUUCACUCAUUUGGGGUUCUUCUGCCUCACCGUUCUAGUUAAGGAUUAGCCUAGGCCUUAUAAAUCCCUGCUCAGGGUCACUGCAGCCACCUCACUGUGCUGUCACCUAUCCAAUGGCCACCAGUAGUUCUAAUAUGUAAAUGUGACUUGUCCUUCUAGAACUAUGUAGGGCUACAGCCAGGUCCUUCUUGUUGUUUCUGUUUGCCUAGAUUACCUACCUUUAAUGUUCUUCCAAUGGCCUCUGAGGCAUAAUUGAGUAGCUCUGAACUUUGGGGGGUUUUUGGCAGUGCCAGGGAUUGAACUCACUUCUCAAAUGGCUAGGCAAGCAUUCUACCACUCAGCCACACCCUCACCCUGCCUCUAGACUUUUACCAAGAUCAUCACUCUUGUUUGGCUUCUCCCCCUUCUCUUUCCUGCUUCCCAAACUGCCAUCUGAAGCACUUUCUUUACCAUCAUUUAUAGUCAUAUUAUUAAUUUUUUGUUUUGUUUUUGGUACCAGGCUUUGAACUCUUGGACUUGUGCUUGCCAGGCAGGCACUACACCACUGAGCUAAAUCCCCAGCCCUCCCUUACCAUCAUUUAUAAGUCCUCCUUUCAGAGUUGGUUUCUAGGUAACCCAACCUGAAAUAUGCCUUCCUAGCUUAAAACCCAUCUGUGGAUCCCUACUACCUCAGAAUAACGCCCUGCUUACCUUUCCUUCUGCACCUCUUUGUACUGCGUCCAGCACGAUUUCAGAAUAACCAAGCAUCAUGUCAUUCCAUCAACUGCCAUUUGUCAUCCAGAAACAAUCUGUCUCCCCUCAAUCCCCAAAUCCAUCACCUUGAAGGACAAGAGACUGUGUAAUGUCACUCCAAUCCGAUCAGGUAGGUCUUCAGGGCUUUGUCCCUGACAAGGUGGGUAGGGUGUUCCCUACUAAAGUGUAACCUGGAAUUCUCAUAAAUUCUACCUCACAUCAGGUGUGGUGGUACACACUUGUAAUUCUAGCACUCAGGAGGCUGAGGCAGGAGAAUCUUUUCAAGUUUGAGACCAACCUGAGCUACAAAGUAAGCUCAACUGCAUAAUGAGACUCUGUCUCAAAAAUAACAAAACAAAACAACAAAAAAAGUUCUAUCUCAAAUCUAAUUCUGAGCCCAUCUGCUUAUCUGGAGUCCUUUCCUUUUCUGGAGUUCCCUUCCUUUCUAGUGCCUGCCUUUCUCUUGUGGGGCACCGAAGUCUUUACUGGGCCUGUCAGGGCACAACCUUGUAUGUUCCUUAUCUUGGCAGUUGACAGGCAGUAUUUUUUAUGUGUCUCAGGCUCAGGAAUCAGGUGGCUUAGGAGGGUGCCUAGUCUAAGAACCCUCAUCUCUAAAACCUACAGCUGCCAGGAAGGGAAGACUCAGAAAUAGAGCCUAAAGCUGCGGCCUUCAAUGCUGAGUCUAGGACUCAGAAAAAUCCAUUGAAUUAGAUGAAUAGAAGAUCUUUGCAUAAACUGCCAAAGUCACCUCCCUUCCUGCCAAAUAAAACAGGUGCAAGAAUGGAAGCCUAAGCCAGGAAUGGUGGUGCACGUCUGUAAUGCCCGCACUCUGGGAGGUUGAGCCAGGAGGAUCACAAAUUUAACCCCAACCUGGGCAAUUUAGCAACUUAGCCAGAACUUGUUUCAAAAUAAAUGAAAAAACGGCUGGGAUGUACCAAUGGAAAGAAGAAAAAAAUAAAAGGACCUUUAUGGUUUGUGUCUGGAUGUUCCCCCAAAGCCUCAUGCAGUCAUGGAGGCCUGCUUCCCUGAGGUCGGCUUCUUGAGUUUGUGACUGAUUCAUGAUCCAGUGUUGGGAUGAUGGGUGUAAGUGCUAUACCCAUCCUAGGGUGGGUAGACUACAUACAAAAUAAGAGGCAAAAAGAGUCUUCUCUCCACAAUCUUCCCUUUUUGCUCUUGUUGCUUUUGCUGUUUUCCACUGCCAUGAACUGUUGCCCUCUGCCACACCAACCUGCCUUGGACCCAGCAGAUUAUGAACUGAAACCUCCACAAACUGUGAGCUAAAUAAACCUCUCCUGCUUUAA